UGCAGAUGACCCUUCUAUGUUUGCUGCAGCAGUGAUGGGUGCACCAGAUAGAGAUCGGUUCUUUACCUGUCCCUCAGGUUGGGUCCGAUACAAGAGCAGCUGCUAUUUAUAUGUGAGCUCUGCCCAGUCCUGGAGCACGCUGAGGCCAACUGUGACAGGCUGGGAGCCUCCUGGCUUCUGGCAAUGAUGCGUUUGAUUACGCUUUCCUCCAGUCACUCACUAAAGAAGCAUCGAGCGUCGCAGCCUGGACCGGAGGCUACUUCUUC
Long non-coding RNA from Notolabrus celidotus (New Zealand spotty), 266 nucleotides. RefSeq lists it as uncharacterized. The record is from RefSeq and is a predicted model, not a curated record. The transcript has 3 exons. NCBI's taxonomy places the organism in Eukaryota, Metazoa, Chordata, Actinopteri, Labriformes, Labridae.